CAAUCAGAUAGAGGAGCGGAAGCGACAAAGUUAAUUGGAGUCGGCGGACAUUUGACAGUUAGCUGAAGCAAUUUCGCCGAACUACAACUUUUGGCAAGAAGUUGUGGUGGGUUUAUGGAGAACAUCCAUAAAACUGUCUACAGUCGUAGGAGUGCUAUCUUAUUG
Molecule: non-coding RNA, 165 nt
Filed under: Eubacterium sp.
Lineage: Bacteria; Bacillati; Bacillota; Clostridia; Eubacteriales; Eubacteriaceae
Description: Lysine sequence
Rfam family: Lysine riboswitch aptamer
About the family: Riboswitches are metabolite binding domains within certain messenger RNAs that serve as precision sensors for their corresponding targets. Allosteric rearrangement of mRNA structure is mediated by ligand binding, and this results in modulation of gene expression.
Source: RNAcentral